RNAcentral lists this ribosomal RNA (400 nucleotides) under uncultured bacterium. Its description in RNAcentral is "bacterial SSU rRNA". It matches the Rfam family "Bacterial small subunit ribosomal RNA", at positions 355 to 771 of the family's 1533-position model. The record is from RNAcentral.
UGGGGAAUCUUGCACAAUGGGCGAAAGCCUGAUGCAGCGAUUCCGCGUGGAGGAUGACGCAUUACGGUGUGUAAACUCCUUUUUUGGUGGAAGACGAAUGACGGUACACCAAGAAUAAGGGACGGCUAACUACGUGCCAGCAGCCGCGGUAAUACGUAGGUCCCAAGCGUUAUCCGGAUUUACUGGGCGUAAAGUGUCCGUAGCCUGGUAUACAAGUCAGUUUUCAAAUCCCACGACUCAAUCGUGGAAAGGGAAUAGAUACUGUAUAUCUGGAGAGUAUUGGAGGUUAGUGGAAUUUCCGGUGGAGCGGUGAAAUGUGUUGAUAUCGGAAAGAACGCCGAAAGCGAAAGCAGCUAACUAUGAUAUUUCUGACGGUAAUGGACGAAAGCUUGAGUAGCAA